AGAACGACUCUCGGCAAUGGAUAUCUCGGCUCUCGCAUCGAUGAAGAACGUAGCGAAAUGCGAUACUUGGUGUGAAUUGCAGAAUCCCGUGAACCAUCGAGUCUUUGAACGCAAGUUGCGCCCGAAGCCUUCUGGCCGAGGGCACGUCUGUCUGGGCGUCA
RNAcentral lists this ribosomal RNA (161 nucleotides) under Rheum tanguticum. RNAcentral's name for it is "5.8S ribosomal RNA". It matches the Rfam family "5.8S ribosomal RNA". Rfam says of the family: 5.8S ribosomal RNA (5.8S rRNA) is a component of the large subunit of the eukaryotic ribosome. It is transcribed by RNA polymerase I as part of the 45S precursor that also contains 18S and 28S rRNA. Lineage: Eukaryota; Viridiplantae; Streptophyta; Magnoliopsida; Caryophyllales; Polygonaceae. The record is from RNAcentral.